This 442-nucleotide ribosomal RNA is filed under the name uncultured bacterium. RNAcentral's name for it is "partial 16S ribosomal RNA". It matches the Rfam family "Bacterial small subunit ribosomal RNA", at positions 338 to 795 of the family's 1533-position model. The record is from RNAcentral.
CCUACGUGAGGCAGCAGUGGGGAAUAUUGGGCAAUGGGCGCAAGCCUGACCCAGCACCGCCGCGUGACGGAAGAAGGCUUUCGGGUUGUAAACUUCUUUUAAGAGGGUAGAGCAGACGACGGUACCUCUUGAAUAAGCCACGGCUAACUACGUGCCAGCAGCCGCGGUAAUACGUAGGUGGCAAGGGUUGUCCGGAUUUACUGGGUGUAAAGGGCGUGUAGCCGGGCUGACAAGUCCGAUGUGAAAUCCGGGGGCUCAACCCCCGAACUGCAUUUGAAACUGUUGGUCUUGAGUAUCGGAGAGGCAGGCGGAAUUCCUAGUGUAGCGGGGAAAUGCGUAGAUAUUAGGAGGAACACCAGUGGCGAAGGCGGCCUGCUGGACGACAACUGACGGUGAGGCGCGAAAGCGUGGGGAGCAAACAGGAUUAGAUACCCUAGUAGUC